Elaeis guineensis (African oil palm) is the source of this 1224-nucleotide non-coding RNA. The record is from RefSeq and is a predicted model, not a curated record. NCBI's taxonomy places the organism in Eukaryota, Viridiplantae, Streptophyta, Magnoliopsida, Arecales, Arecaceae.
UUAAAGAGGCGAAGGGUCACUGGGGCGGCGUUACACUCUCCGCGGCAAUCGGCAUCCCUCUCCCCUUCCCCCUUGUCGCAUUUUUUCAAACUACGAGAAGGCACCGAAUAAGAAGCGCGAGGCAGAGAGAGAGAAAUGGUCCAUGUCCGCGUCAAGCAACCUAUGGGUUCUUCUCGGGCUGGGCCUCGCCGGUAUCGUCGUCAAGACCCGGCGGCUGAAGCGUGCCAUCAAGCAGGAUUUCGGGCGUUUCGUCGAGCCGUUCGAGCUCCUGCCUCCCAAGGCCCCCCGAUCCCUUGACCGGCCUCUCCUUCGCCAUCGCCGACAUGUAACCUUAUCCGUCCUUGAUAGAAUCCUCUUUUCCCUCGCGUUUUAAUCUUUGGGCUAUUGAUCAUUUCACUGAUUAACAGAUUCGAUAUCAAAAGAUGUGUAACUGGGUUUGGCAAUCCAGACUGGGCAAAAACUCAUGAACCUGCAGCACGAACAUCUUCAGUGGUUUCAGCUCUCAUAGAUGGGGUUGCUACUUGUGUUGGAAGAACAAUCAUUUGAUGAGAUGGCUUAUAGUAUCAGUAGUGAAAAUGAACAUUUUGGUACACCAACAAAUCCUGCAGCUCUUGAGCCAAUACCUGAAGGAUGUUCAAGUGGAUCAGCUGGAGCUGUCGCUAGCGGUGUAGUUGAGUUCCUCUUGUAGUCUUGUUUACCUUCAAACUGAAGCUGAUUGCGGCACUGCCAUAAGCCUUGAUAAAAAGAUUUCAAAUAUGCACUCAUUUUGGAACCAACCAACAAGACGGCAAUCCUUGCUACUAGUAGAUUAAAGAAGUUAUUCCAGUAGAUACCACACCAGUAAUUUCCAGAAGGUGCAAAUCACCUGUAAAAAGUUUGAUCAGAAUUGACACAUACAGGUAAAUUUAGAGACGUUGGGGCAGCACCUCAGUGGAGCACUGACCACAGGAUUUUGCAGGCAUCUGGAUUGCUCAUCUAUUCCAGCAAGUGCUCCACUUUUUUACAGAAUCAAUGGCUCUUAAUAUUGCCCGUGUUAUUGAAGAUAGGUUUAUUCCAGUUUUGUUACACUGCUUAUAUCAAAUGGCAGAUGUUAGUUUCAAAUUUACCAUAUGCUCUUGGUAUGUUCUUCACUAUUUUUUAAACUUGUACUAUGAGAUCAUCAUUUGUUGCAGCAGCGGGGAGUGGUAUUUUUGAAUAAAAUCACAUAGUUUGUGAUGGCUUUCC